GAAAUGCGAUAAGUAAUGUGAAUUGCAGAAUUCAGUGAAUCAUCAAAUCUUUGAACGCACAUUGCGCCCCUUGGUAUUCCGAGGGGCAUGCCUGUUCGAGUGUCAUGAUACCGCUCAAGCUCCGCUUGGUGUUGGACCCUCGCCCCAUAUCGAUUGGGGCAAGCGGGUCUCAAAUAUAUUGACAACUUAGUCUCCACUCCAGUGUCGUUAAUUAUCAUGCUGUGGAUGUGUGGAUCAUCAAAGUUGGUUUAAGAAGUUUUAAUCAUGGAUGACCUCGAAUCAGGUAGGGAUACCCGCUGAACUUAA
This 306-nucleotide unclassified non-coding RNA is filed under the name uncultured Ascomycota. RNAcentral describes it as "sequence contains ITS1". The stretch from base 1 to 105 matches the Rfam family "5.8S ribosomal RNA", at positions 50 to 154 of the family's 154-position model. Lineage: Eukaryota; Fungi; Ascomycota. The record is from RNAcentral.